AACAGGAUUAGAUACCCUGGUAGUCCAUGCCGUAAACGUUGGGCACUAGGUGUGGGGGACAUUCCACGUUUUCCGCGCCGCAGCUAACGCAUUAAGUGCCCCGCCUGGGGAGUACGGCCGCAAGGCUAAAACUCAAAGGAAUUGACGGGGGCCCGCACAAGCGGCGGAGCAUGCGGAUUAAUUCGAUGCAACGCGAAGAACCUUACCAAGGCUUGACAUGUUCCCGACCGGGCCAGAGAUGGUCUUUCCCCUUUGGGGCGGGUUCACAGGUGGUGCAUGGUUGUCGUCAGCUCGUGUCGUGAGAUGUUGGGUUAAGUCCCGCAACGAGCGCAACCCUCGUUCCAUGUUGCCAGCGGGUUAUGCCGGGGACUCAUGGGAGACUGCCGGGGUCAACUCGGAGGAAGGUGGGGACGACGUCAAAUCAUCAUGCCCCUUAUGUCUUGGGCUUCACGCAUGCUACAAUGGCCGGUACAAUGGGUUGCGAUACUGUGAGGUGGAGCUAAUCCCAAAAAGCCGGUCCCAGUUCGGAUUGGGGUCUGCAACUCGACCCCAUGAAGUCGGAGUCGCUAGUAAUCGCAGAUCAGCAACGCUGCGGUGAAUACGUUCCCGGGCCUUGUACACACCGCCCGUCAAGUCACGAAAGUCGGUAACACCCGAAGCCGGUGGCCCAACCCUUGUGGGGGGAGCCGUCGAAGGUGGGACUGGCGAUUGGGACUAAGUCGUAACAAGGUAACC
This 735-nucleotide ribosomal RNA is filed under the name uncultured bacterium. Its description in RNAcentral is "bacterial SSU rRNA". It matches the Rfam family "Bacterial small subunit ribosomal RNA", at positions 771 to 1501 of the family's 1533-position model. The record is from RNAcentral.